GUGUCAGCCGCCGCGGUAAUACAGAGGUGGCAAGCGUUGUUCGGAAUUAUUGGGCGUAAAGAGCACGUAGGUGGGUUUGUAAGUCAGAUGUGAAAGCCUUCUGUUCAACGGAAGAAUUGCAUCUGAAACUGCGAGUCUUGAGUGUAGGAGGGGAGAAUGGAACUUCUGGUGGAGCGGUGAAAUGCGUAGAUAUCAGAAGGAACGCCGGCGGCGAAAGCGAUUCUCUGGCCUAUUACUGACACUCAGUGUGCGAAAGCUAGGGGAGCAAACGGGAUUAGAUACCCCGGUAGUCCUAGCUGUAAACGAUGGAUACUAGAUGUUGAACAGAUCGACCUGUGCAGUAUCAAAGCUAACGCGUUAAGUAUCCCGCCUGGGAAGUAUGCUCGCAAGAGUGAAACUUAAAGAAAUUGGCGGG
Molecule: ribosomal RNA, 415 nt
Filed under: uncultured Planctomycetota bacterium
Lineage: Bacteria; Pseudomonadati; Planctomycetota
Description: bacterial SSU rRNA
Rfam family: Bacterial small subunit ribosomal RNA
Source: RNAcentral